RNAcentral lists this ribosomal RNA (253 nucleotides) under uncultured bacterium. Its description in RNAcentral is "partial 16S ribosomal RNA". It matches the Rfam family "Bacterial small subunit ribosomal RNA", at positions 524 to 776 of the family's 1533-position model. The record is from RNAcentral.
UACGUAGGGUGCAAGCGUUAAUCGGAAUUACUGGGCGUAAAGCGUGCGCAGGCGGCUUUGCAAGACAGAUGUGAAAUCCCCGGGCUCAACCUGGGAACUGCAUUUGUGACUGCAUGGCUAGAGUACGGUAGAGGGGGAUGGAAUUCCGCGUGUAGCAGUGAAAUGCGUAGAUAUGCGGAGGAACACCGAUGGCGAAGGCAAUCCCCUGGGCCGGUACUGACGCUCAUGCACGAAAGCGUGGGGAGCAAACAGG